ACCUGAGUAGUGAGAAGGAAGCUUUUAAAAAUAUGUUUUAAAAAAUAAGAAGAAAAAGAUAACUGUAACGCAUUCCUUUGUAGGGACUCCUGCUUCUGUCGCAGGUCAAGCGACGAGCAACUAGCCUCUCCUUGCUUUGCCUUCUCCCCUCUAGGGACAGGCAAAGUUGAGGCUGUGGCUGUGGUUUUCUCCUGCUUUGAGUUUCAAGAUUCUUGUCCUCAGAGAACAUCCUGAAAUAACUAUGAUGUAUUUGUACAACACCUGUGAUUUACAUAAAUGAAAAACCAGACUGGCAGAAGUUACGGUCAUUCGGGAAGCUGGUGACAGAUAUGCAGGGGUUCAUUGUGCUAUUUCAUGUUUGGUUUUGUUUUCUCUUUGUAGCCCUGGUCAUCCUGGAACUCACUCUGUAGAGCAGGUUGGCCUCAAACUCAGAGAUCUGCCUGCCUCUGCCUCCUGAGUUCUGGGAUUAAAGGCAUGCAUCACCAUGCCUGGCACCUUUGAAUUUUUCAAAGUGAACAUUUACAAAUGGGAGGAUCAUGAGUCCUUGAAGAAAAUGUUGAAGCUAGAAAACUUCCUAAGUCAACUAGCAACUUGGCUAAGCAAUCAUUUGAGCCCUCUGUUUUCAAAGCAACGGAAUCUGAGGAAUCUUCGUGACAAGAAAAGGACCCAAGUCAGGCCAGUCAGGGAGCUCUCGAGGAGGUAAGGAAGAAGGGGUCCCUAAAGCUGGAGGAGCAGCAUGAAGCAGGAGCUCCUCAGUACUCCCAGGAUUGCCUCUGGGGGUGCAACAGCAGAAACUGCAGAUGCCAGUCUGCUGGAAGUAUACCUCAAAACAACCUUAGGGAACUAGAAACAAGAAGAAAGCCCAAAAAAUGUAAGAGGAGACAUUCUUUCCAUCUCUGUCUCUCAGAGAGAUCACAAUUACACAAAAAUCAAAGGCAUGAUUUGCUGAAUCUAGAAUGUUCCCUAAGACUCAUGCAUUAGAGACUUGGGCCCCUGGGUGGCACUGUUGGGACAUAGUGGGACAGUCCUUCAUUAGGGGCAGCCCUUUACAGGACAUUAUGGGACCCCAGCUCCGGCUACACUCUUUACUCCCACUCUCAUGAUGUAAACUGUUUGGCUCUGCCAUGUAUUACCACCAUGUUAUGCUCAAAGCAAGGAGGCAGUUGACCGUGGACUGGAACCUAUUAAACUGUAGGACAAAACAAAUCUUUGUUCUUUAAGUUGAACACUGUAAGUAUUUUGCUAAAGUGAUCUUUUUAUUUUUAAUUCUUAUUUAUUUGCUUCUUUUUUUAGUGAUUUUUUUAAUUGACUAACAAAACCAGGUGUGAUAACAUACUCCUUUCAUCCCAACAUUUGAGAGACAGAAGUAGGGAGGCCAGCUUGGUUUCUGUAGCAAGUUCCAGGCUAGCCAGGGCAACAUAGUGAGACUGUCUCAAAAACAAUUAACAAAACCAAAAAAUAAAUAAACAAAAUAAAAUGAGAAACAACAACCAACUUAACUGACACAGACUCCAAACUGAGGCAGGGGCUACAGAGAACUGGUCAGAUUUCUAGUUGUGCUGGUAACUAAAGGUGUGAGCCUGUAAGUGUGUAAGCUCUAUAUAUGUGCAAAGUGAAUUUUUACUCUUUCGCUUAAAACAUUUCUACCAUCACUGGGGUUCACAACACCUUAUAUCAACCUUAUAUCAGACCAUUCUGGCCUCUAAAAGAUUUUUUUGAGUGUAUAUGUGUAUGUAUGCAAGGGGGGUUAUGUGUGCCACGAGUAUGUGGGUGCCCAA
Myodes glareolus (Bank vole) is the source of this 1778-nucleotide non-coding RNA. Lineage: Eukaryota; Metazoa; Chordata; Mammalia; Rodentia; Cricetidae. The record is from RefSeq and is a predicted model, not a curated record.